This 420-nucleotide ribosomal RNA is filed under the name uncultured bacterium. RNAcentral's name for it is "partial 16S ribosomal RNA". It matches the Rfam family "Bacterial small subunit ribosomal RNA", at positions 361 to 773 of the family's 1533-position model. The record is from RNAcentral.
AUUUUGGCCAAUGGGGGCAACCCUGAUCCAGCCAUCCCGCGUGUGCGAUGAAGGCCUUCGGGUUGUAAAGCACUUUUGUCAGGGAAGAAAAGGCUCUGGCUAAUACCUGGAGCUGCUGACGGUACCUGCAGAUUAAGCACCGGUUAAUUAGUUGCCAGCAGCCGCGGGAAUACGUAGGGUGCAAGCGUUAAUCGGAAUUACUGGGCGUAAAGCGUGCGCAGGCGGUUCGGCAAGAAGGAUGUGAAAUCCCAGGGCUUAACCUUGGAACUGCAUUCUUAACUGCCGGGCUAGAGUAUGUCAGAGGGGGGUAGAAUUCCGCGUGUAGCAGUGAAAUGCGUAGAGAUGCGGAGGAAUACCGAUGGCGAAGGCAGCCCCCUGGGAUAAUACUGACGCUCAUGCACGAAAGCGUGGGGAGCAAAC